AUGGUUAAAGAUCUCUUGGAUGAGGACUUAGAUGGGCAUGUUAUUUCUUUCUUGGGUGAGACUGCUAAUAUUGCUAGACCUGGUACUAAGACACGUAGACCUGUUGUAGGCAUGCCUGUUAUUUCUGUUAAAAUAGGAGAUCAUUGUUAUCAUGGCUUAUGUGAUAUGCGUGCUAGUGCUAGUGCGAUACCUUAUGAUCUUUAUAAAGAAAUUAUGCACGAUAUUGCACUCGUUGAAUUAGAAGACAGUGAUGUUACUAUUAAGCUUGCUAAUAGGGAUACCAUUAAACCUAUUGGGAUUGUUGGAGAUGUUGAAGUUUUGUGUGGGAAGAUUAAAUACCCCACUGAUUUUCUUGUUCUUGGUUCCCCACAAGAUGAUUUUUGUCCCAUUAUUUUUGGUAGACCAUUCUUGAAUACUGCUAGUGCUAAGAUUAAUUGCGAAAGGAAUAUUGUCAGUGUUGGCAUAGAUGGUAUGUCUCAUGAGUUUAAUUUUGCUAAGUUUAGUAGACAACCUCGUGAAAGGGAACCACCUAGUAAGGAUGAAAUUAUUGGUCUUGCUUCAAUUGCUAUUCCUCCAACUAAUCCGUUAGAACAAUAUUUGCUAGACCAUGAAAACGAUAUGUUUAUGAAGGAAAGGGAAGAAAUAGAUGAAGUGUUCCUUAAAUAG
Molecule: ribosomal RNA, 666 nt
Filed under: Triticum aestivum (bread wheat)
Lineage: Eukaryota; Viridiplantae; Streptophyta; Magnoliopsida; Poales; Poaceae
Description: partial small subunit ribosomal RNA
Source: RNAcentral